Molecule: non-coding RNA, 375 nt
Rfam family: transfer-messenger RNA
About the family: Bacterial tmRNA, also known as 10Sa RNA or SsrA, is named for its dual tRNA and mRNA-like properties. Its role is to liberate the mRNA from a stalled ribosome.
Source: Rfam
GGGGGUGAACGGUUUCGACUCUGGACGUUGAGUCAGGGGAAGCGUGUAGGUGCAGGCGAGAGACCACCUUCAAGCGUCAUCGCAAACCAAUAAGCGCCAAGACGAACAGUCAGCGCGACUUCGCCCUCGCUGCCUAAGCAGCCAGUGCGAGUCUGUCGGCCUGGGACCGCCUCCGACCCAGUGUCCGGCAUCAGCUAGGAGGCUAAACCGCUAGUCCCGGUCGCGGGGGCUGGCGGGACAUCCACAGCGACUGGGCCCGUCACACCGUCUCGUCCGCGUGAACGGUGGGGCCGAGCAGAGGCACAGCGGACUGCACACGGAGAAGCCCUGGUGAGGCGACAGAGGACCCGGGUUCGAUUCCCGGCACCUCCACUC